GACGAACGCUGGCGGCGUGCUUAACACAUGCAAGUCGAACGGAAAGGCCCUGCUUUUGUGGGGUGCUCGAGUGGCGAACGGGUGAGUAACACGUGAGUAACCUGCCCUUGACUUUGGGAUAACUUCAGGAAACUGGGGCUAAUACCGGAUAGGAGCUCCUGCUGCAUGGUGGGGGUUGGAAAGUUUCGGCGGUUGGGGAUGGACUCGCGGCUUAUCAGCUUGUUGGUGGGGUAGUGGCUUACCAAGGCUUUGACGGGUAGCCGGCCUGGGAGGGUGACCGGCCACAUUGGGACUGAGAUACGGCCCAGACUCCUACGGGAGGCAGCAGUGGGGAAUAUUGCACAAUGGGCGGAAGCCUGAUGCGGCCACGCCGCGUGCGGGAUGACGGCCUUCGGGUUGUAAACCGCUUUCGCCUGUGACGAAGCGUGAGUGACGGUAAUGGGUAAAGAAGCACCGGCUAACUACGUG
This 468-nucleotide ribosomal RNA is filed under the name uncultured bacterium. Its description in RNAcentral is "partial 16S ribosomal RNA". It matches the Rfam family "Bacterial small subunit ribosomal RNA", at positions 28 to 507 of the family's 1533-position model. The record is from RNAcentral.